This 113-nucleotide microRNA precursor is filed under the name Musa acuminata subsp. malaccensis (wild Malaysian banana). RNAcentral's name for it is "MIR398 microRNA precursor family". It matches the Rfam family "MIR398 microRNA precursor family". Lineage: Eukaryota; Viridiplantae; Streptophyta; Magnoliopsida; Zingiberales; Musaceae. The record is from Rfam by way of RNAcentral.
GGAGUUCCAACAGGAGCGACCUGCGACCACAUGCGCCACUACGACUCCGGGCCGGUUUCUGCCGUUUGAUUUGGCAGGGUGAUGUGUUCUCAGGUCGCCCCUGCAGGAGCUCC